CCUACGGGGGGCAGCAGUGGGGAAUAUUGGGCAAUGGGCGCAAGCCUGACCCAGCAACGCCGCGUGAAGGAAGAAGGCUUUCGGGUUGUAAACUUCUUUUGUCAGGGAAGAGUAGAAGACGGUACCUGACGAAUAAGCCACGGCUAACUACGUGCCAGCAGCCGCGGUAAUACGUAGGUGGCAAGCGUUGUCCGGAUUGACUGGGUGUAAAGGGUGUGUAGCCGGGUUGAAAAGUCAGAUGUGAAAUCCUGCGGCUUAACCGCAGAACUGCAUUUGAAACUGUUGAUCUUGAGUACUGGAGAGGCAGACGGAAUUCCUAGUGUAGCGGUGAAAUGCGUAGAUAUUAGGAGGAACACCAGUGGCGAAGGCGGUCUGCUGGACAGCAACUGACGGUGAGGCGCGAAAGCGUGGGGAGCAAACAGGAUUAGAUACCCCAGUAGUC
Molecule: ribosomal RNA, 442 nt
Filed under: uncultured bacterium
Lineage: Bacteria
Description: partial 16S ribosomal RNA
Rfam family: Bacterial small subunit ribosomal RNA
Source: RNAcentral